ACCGUCACAAGCUUUCUCCCACUCUCCACUUUCCCCUCUCCAUUCCUUCAUAUUGCCGCCUCCAUUACUCCCUUUCUUCCUCUGUUUUCACUUUCUUUCUUUUUCAUCAGCCUGAUCAUCAUCAUUCAGAAAUAAAAAAUUACACCCAACCAACUCCACUUCUCCAUUUUUUCCUUCUUUGAAAGCCUACCUUUUCGUUUCUUUUUUUUUUUUCGUUUCUUCUUUCUUCCUUUACCCACCGGACCAAAAGGUCCAAAACAGAAAAAUGCAGAUGAUUCCUUUGUCUCACAUCUUUCUCCUCACUUCCCAAUUAAUGGCUGAUCCCUGCCAAACUCUCUCUUCGUCGUCAAAAAACAAGAAAGGGGGAACAAGGAUGAAGGGGGAGGAUGUUUAAUUCAUCUCAACCAUCUGCAUCAUUUUUGACCAAAUAUAAUCGUGUUAGGAUAACAAAGAUGCAAAUGUCUCACUAUUGCAGCCCCUAUUUUCUUGGGAUGAAAAUAAGAAGCAAAUGAAGUUGAAAAUGAGGCAUCGAAGCUACAUGAGAUGAAAGGGGGCAAUAAUUGCCAAGAAAAUCUGUAUGUGGAUUUUGCCUUUCUUCGUAUGUCAAUUUCUUUGUAGCUCAGUUUUUGUUCUUUUGACUUUAUCUGGUAGUUAUUUUUCAAUAUUUUCUUUCUUUUUUUUUUCGAGGUUUUUUGGUUGUACAAGCGCUAGCCUCAUGGUAAUGGAAGGUGAAACUAUCCGAAUUAAUGUGAAGAACAAACCUUCUAGUAGAACAGGCAUGCUUUCAGCUACAGGAUUGUUAAAUGGACAUCCUGGAACUGUAAAGGCCAAAACUCUAAGCAUAGCACCACUCCCCAGUGGAGGAGUGAGGAUUUAGUCUCCUCUCCGACCCCCUCCCAAUGAUUCUGCAGCUGCUAGGAUGACUUUGGGAAGGCAUGAUACUACUCUUAAGGGGCCUAAGGAAGUUGCUAGACAUUCUGCUGAUCCACUGGCAAAUCUGUCACAACUGGAGAAGAAUCUUCCUACAACCACUGGAACAGGUUCUAAGAAGUCCACUGUAGCUGGAUGGGCUGCUUUUUUAUCAUGUUAGCAUUUGACUGUUGGUGGUUCGGAUCUUUGUCUCCUAUUGUAUUUAACAAGCUGAGAAAAAUUGAAAAGAAAAUUCAUAACUGAAGGAAUUUCAAUAUGUGCUCCAUCUUUGGAGGAAUAAUUAUUCUCGAAAUGUGUUGAUAUCGUUCUUUUGACAUACUUGGACUGUUGAUCUCAAAUUUAUAUGCGUAUAACACAAGAUAAUUCUCUU
Long non-coding RNA from Coffea eugenioides, 1300 nucleotides. RefSeq lists it as uncharacterized. The record is from RefSeq and is a predicted model, not a curated record. NCBI's taxonomy places the organism in Eukaryota, Viridiplantae, Streptophyta, Magnoliopsida, Gentianales, Rubiaceae. The transcript is spliced from 6 exons.